This 260-nucleotide long non-coding RNA is filed under the name Nicotiana benthamiana. RNAcentral's name for it is "long non-coding RNA (NBEN_LNC027107)". Lineage: Eukaryota; Viridiplantae; Streptophyta; Magnoliopsida; Solanales; Solanaceae. The record is from RNAcentral.
AACAAAGAAAUAAAAUCCACAACUAUAAGAUAGCUCAACCAGUGAAAAAAAGGGACCUUUCGUCAUCUAUAGCCCACAGAAUGAUGAAGGUGCUGACCUUCUCGAUCACUACUAAAAUAAUACCAAUGAGCUACCCUCCAAACCCAUUUUCAAAAUCGUAAAUUACUUCCGUAGAAAAGCUUAAGAUCUGGUUGGCAAUAUCGCCCUCAAAAUAAACUCUGACUAGUGAACCUUUAGAUGUGGCAGACGAGGCCUUUCUA